GUGGGGAAUAUUGCACAAUGGGCGCAAGCSUGAUGCAGCAACGCCGCGUGAGGGAUGAAGGCCUUCGGGUUGUAAACCUCUUUUAGCAGGGAAGAARCGAAAGUGACGGUACCUGCARAAAAAGCACCGGCUAACUACGUGCCAGCAGCCGCGGUAAUACGUAGGGUGCAAGCGUUGUCCGGAAUUAUUGGGCGUAAAGAGCUCGUAGGCGGUUUGUCACGUCUGCUGUGAAAAUCCAAGGCUCAACCUUGGACUUGCAGUGGGUACGGGCAGGCUAGAGUGCGGUAGGGGAGAUGGGAAUUCCUGGUGUAGCGGUGGAAUGCGCAUAUAUCAGGAGGAACACCAAUGGCGAAGGCACAUCUNUGGGCCGUAACUGACGCUGAGGAGCGAAAGCGUGGGGAGCGAACAGGAUUACAUACCCUGGUAGUCCACUCCGUAAACGGUGGGUGCUAGCUGUGGGCCACAUUCCACGUGGUCCCGUGACGAAGUUAACGCAUUAAKCACCCCCCUGGGGAGUCCC
Molecule: ribosomal RNA, 520 nt
Filed under: uncultured bacterium
Lineage: Bacteria
Description: bacterial SSU rRNA
Rfam family: Bacterial small subunit ribosomal RNA
Source: RNAcentral